AUACGUAGGGGCCAAACGUUGUCCGGAUUUAUUGGGCGUAAAGGGCUCGUAGGCGGUUCAACAAGUCGGUCGUGAAAACCCGGGGCUCAACCCCGGGACGCCGGUCGAAACUGUUGUGACUAGGGUCCGGUAGAGGUGAGUGGAAUUCUCGGUGUAGCGGUGGAAUGCGCAGAUAUCGAGAGGAACACCAGUAGCGAAGGCGGCUCACUGGGCCGGUACCGACGCUGAGGAGCGAAAGUAUGGGGAGCAAACAGGAUUAGAAACCCCGGUAGUCC
This 275-nucleotide ribosomal RNA is filed under the name uncultured bacterium. Its description in RNAcentral is "partial 16S ribosomal RNA". It matches the Rfam family "Bacterial small subunit ribosomal RNA", at positions 523 to 796 of the family's 1533-position model. The record is from RNAcentral.